ACAUCAGGGACUCACAGAUUUGAAACAUUGAAAUUAUCACCUCUAUAAUAUUGCAUUCCACAUCUAAGGUUCCUUCUUACAGAUAUACAUUAUGCAAUAUCCUAGCUUAGCAACCAAAUUCAUCUAGCCAACAAUCUUAACUAAUCUUAUUAUCAAUCUCCUCAACCAACCUCAUUUCUUAAUGUAAAAAGUGUAGGCUUUACCUUGGGAGUAUCGAUCACAGGAUGCAAGGAUUUCAGACAAGUAUCUGGAGCUGCAGGUAAAAGUUAGUUCCUAGUUUCUCUCUCUCUAAAUUUCUCUCUUAAGUCAAAGUCUGCUUCCAUUGCAGGAUCUGUGACCAAGAUUGGACAGGCUUCCAUGAAUCAAAACUUAAUGGUGGUUGCCACCAAGUUCUGUUCACUUCUUUUGACUUAUAUCCAAGAGUUCUUUGCGAAAGCGAGCUUGAAGAUUGCUGCCUCCAAGUCCCGUUUCGAACUCUUUUAUUGGAGUCUUUUAUGAAUCAAGCCGUAAUGGUUUUAGCCACCAAGUCCUGUUCAGACUCAUCCUAAUUAAACAAUAGAUCUUAUAUAUAUAUAUAUUUAUUUUUUAUUUUUAUUUCUUUUUAUUUUAUUUUUAUUUUAUUUUUUGUGUACUCACUAACUAAUCUAGAGUCGAAAUUUAGAGAGAGAAAAUGUGAUAAAUAAUCUAAACCAGGCGUUACCUUCCAGCCUUGUCUGAAAAAACCGAUCCCAUGUAUACCAAGCCCCAAGACAAGCAGUGAAGUCAGGUUAGUGUUGGAGGUUAGCUUCGGUUCUUUCUAACAAGCUAGCAAGUGUGUAUAGUUGACUGGUUGAUCCACUUUAGCAUCUAUAGUAUUAUCUGCAGUCAGUAAAUCUAGAAUGGUGCUAGAAAGUGGUUAGACAUUCAAGUAGAAAUCAUUAGUUCAUAAUCCCCUUCUUGACUCAAUAAAAUUAUUUUUGAAAAGAUUUUUGACAAAAACUCAAGAAAGUGGUGUUAGUAACUACCUCCCCCAGACUUAAAUUACACCGACUCGGUGCAAAGUGUCCAAGGGUAGGUUAAAAUCAAGUUAG
This 1070-nucleotide long non-coding RNA is filed under the name Brassica rapa (field mustard). RNAcentral's name for it is "long non-coding RNA (BRAP_LNC008767)". Lineage: Eukaryota; Viridiplantae; Streptophyta; Magnoliopsida; Brassicales; Brassicaceae. The record is from RNAcentral.